This is a long non-coding RNA of Marmota flaviventris (yellow-bellied marmot), 612 nucleotides long. RefSeq lists it as uncharacterized. Lineage: Eukaryota; Metazoa; Chordata; Mammalia; Rodentia; Sciuridae. The record is from RefSeq and is a predicted model, not a curated record.
CAACAACCCACUUAACAGAUGAGGAAACUGAGGCUUCAAGAGGUGAAGUCCUUGCCUGAGCCCACAGCAAGGCUGGGAUUUGUACCCAGCACCACCCUGCGCCCUCAUUGCACAGAUCCCGAGACACAGCCAGAGUGGGAACCAAGUUUGCACAGAGUACGGGUCAGAGCAGGGACUUGGACAAACCCCGUCUGACCCCAGCGCCCGAGCGCCAGGAUUGGAAGUCACCCCAGCCCCUCCAAAGACUAAAUGGCAAUGGGUGCCUGCAGUUCCUGCUCAGGGGACAGCCAGCUUUCCCAAGUACCAGGGCUUGAUCCCGGGGCCUCCUGCACACUAGGCAAGCACUCUGUCCCUGAGCAAACCCAGCCUCAGGUGGAGCUUUCGUAACAGCCGAUGCUCGUGUGUGAGGCACAGACUCAAGAGGAGCUACUUUAGGUGGUGAAGCGGGCAGCUGAUAGCACACCCUGUGGUGAGGAGCCAACCCUUAGCGGAGCACCUACUGUCUGGGGACAGCUGAGACCCUGAUUUCUUCCCUGAUCCUCACCUGCCUGAAGUUCCCUCACCCUCCUCAGGAUGGGGCAAAGUAAAGGUAGAAUAAUGCCUGCGCCCCUG